ACACUGAAAGAUGACAAUGUUUUAAACCUAUCAUUUGCUACCUAAGACUUUGUUUGCUUGUUAGAUGCCAUUUAAAAGGGGGUCAUUUGGGAGUACUUCCUUUUGUAACUGUAUGCAGUAUGACAUGUGGGCAGCAGGGGGAACCAUUGGAACAUUUUCUGAUCAGGCUAUGCAGAUAAUUGUCAUCACGGAUGCAGAGGACAAAUCCAAUGAGGCUAGUGGAGAUGGCCAGACCAGUCAGGUCCUUGAUCCUUGUGGGUGAGCUGAUGGUGCCUUUAGGACUUAGCCCGCUCUAGAAACCAGUUCAAACCAGGCUCCUCAUCCCUGUCAUAGGGAGCUCGGAUGGUGGAGCCCUGCUUGGUGGCUUAUGAGAGUCUGGGUGGCCUUGAGUAUAAGUCUUCACUGGCCAGAAAUGUUUGUGCAAAAUCCCCACAAUUCUGCUGAGGCAGAAUUGAAGGAGGGUUUUCAAUAACUAAUUUCAGUAAUCCAUUUGCUCUUGAAAAUAAAGAGAGUGUCUUGGUGCCACCCACCCCCCCCCCCCCCCACUGUACUCAACUCAGAAAGCACCUGCUGUGUCUCCUGGCAUGCACUGUGGACCACCUCCAGCAUUUUAUGACUGAGGCUUUGGGGCCCCUCAUCAGACUUGGACAUCACUGCCUCCCCCCUCCGCCCCUUUACAGAUCUAGGCCUAGCGUAAAGGAACAAGGACCUAUCAAUUGGGUGGCCCCUCACCUCAGAAGAAAUACUGUGUAGCCACACCUAAGAACAGUCUUCCAGCCUAGAGAGGGCCGCAUGGUGAACUGUAGACAGCACACUUUCUUUCCAGAUUCUGGUCUGAGUGGGAUGUCCCUCCUUGGAGUAUAUAAUAACAGUAUCCAUCAACAGAGACUCCAUUGAUAGAUUGAAAGAAUCCCCAAGGAAACACACAGCCCACCCGUCUAAGCAAAGUUUCUACCAGAAAUGCCUUUGCGUCCUUACAAAGAAACAGACUUUACCCACGGCAGAUCAAAAUGGCCUCACCUGCUCCUCAGCAGGCACAAAAUCAAUUUUCCGUCCCCUCUCACCUCCCAUUGGCCAGUGGAACUCAGUUACCAAGCUCCUCUUCCUGUUCCCUCGGUAACCCUAUUUGGUGAAAUUAGAAUUAACUGAGUUUAAUUCAAUGUAGCGCAAAGCCCAAUGAGAUUAGCUCUAUGGUUUCAGACCCGUGCUAGGAAACAGCACCCUUAUGUUCUGUAUUCGUCUUCCUAAACUUGACAUAACACCAGGAGGAGGGAAGGUGGGGGUACAUCCAUCUGCCUAGGUGCUCUGCACCCCCUCUCAGCAUGCACGCUCCUUCCUGGGGACCUGAAAUCCGAUUUCUGAAGCUUGACCCUGCAGGUCUCUUUACAAGAUGAAGUUACCCGUAGGUUCGUUUUCCAUGGAGUGUAAAACAAGGUGGCAAACUGAGCCCAAGCACAAAGGACUGACAUUCUUCAGUAACCUCUGCCGAUGGCAUAGAGUUUCUGUGUGGCACUUCAUGUCAUCUCUAUCCCUGCUGUCUCUGAAGCCUCCACAGACUCUCAGAUGUCCAGUGACCAUACCCAGAAAGGCCAUGUCCUCCUGACAUUGUAUUAUUGAAAUCCUAUUUAUCUCCAUUUGUUUUCAGUUAUAGAGUUGUUUGAGACAAGAUCUUUUUGUACAGCCCUGGUGUCAUGGCAGAACCCUGAGUGCUGAGAUUACAGACAUGUGCCACCAUUACUGACUCUAAUUAUCUUGAGCAAGAGCCCACAUUUUAGUUUUGUUCUGUACCCCCAAAACUGUAUGAUUAGUUCUAUCUUACCAUGACUUGUAUUUAAUCUUAUUUCUUUAAUCUCACUUUUAAAAAAUUAUUUUGAAAAUAAUAAAAUAAAUUUUUAAAAUUU
This 1901-nucleotide long non-coding RNA is filed under the name Mus musculus (house mouse). RNAcentral's name for it is "long non-coding RNA chr17:72858211-72860112". Lineage: Eukaryota; Metazoa; Chordata; Mammalia; Rodentia; Muridae. The record is from RNAcentral.